UGGCGGCUUAGCAUAAUGACACGUGUUGAGUGGGACGCGUGUCACUUUACCCAUCUCCUCUUUCUCUGCUUUUGCUUUGCUUUAGUUUUUUGUCUCCUCUUCCAGACUCCUCCAUCCUUAUUCCUCAACUUUGGACAACAUCUCCUCCGCUCCAUCUCCUAGCUAUCUUUUUCUCUCUAUUUUUUCUCCGACUUCUUUUUUAUUUGUUAAUAUCGAUUUGUUUCCGUUUAUAAAUGAUUCUCAUCUUUUUUUUUUUGCAGUUUUCUAUGAAGGUUUAUUUGCAGUUUUCUAUGAAGGUUUAGUUGAACAUGGGGAAAUCAAGAGUUGAUGCUCACAGAAAAACUGAUGCGAAGUUGAAGAGUAAACGUGGAGAUGCGAGCAAGGAGGUUGCGAAGGAUCCGAACAAGCUUAAGAGGCCUAUAAAAUUUGAGGCCAAAGUUGUUCGCUUUUUUAGUUUCUGCUGCUGCUCGGCUGCCUUCAGACUAUGUCGAAACACUGUCUUUCUGCAUGCAACUGAGCUUCUCAAUUUCUUAAUUUCUAAACAUUUGAGAAACUUGGUUGCAAGAAAAAGUUGGAAGGGCAACAUAAUUGGAAAAUUGGGUUACAACAAUCACCCUCUAAACUGCAGAGGAGUCUGCAUUUGAAGUUCUUUUCGACUGGGAUGAGAAGAUUGGAGCCCCGAGAGCAUUCAUAAUUAGAAAUGAGCAUCAGAAUCUUCUUUGGUUCCUAUGCUAGCUUUGUGUGUCUCCAUCUCCAAAUAAUUUAGUUGAAAAUCACUAAUACGCAUGCAAAUUUGAAAGGGUUUUGAUCUUUCGAUGAGUUUAAAAUGUUUGUUGGUGGUGGUUGUAUUGCUGUCAAAUAUUUGUUGGAUAGUUUGGAAUGGAGAAGUUCGUUGAUUUAGAGAAACUGAAUACACAAGGAAUUUGGAAGAGUUUUUGGUCUUAUAUUGGUUUAACUACUUUUUUGACAAUCACGAGUACUGGAGGGAACUUUUGGUGUUCCAUUGAACAAUUUUUGUCAUAUUUUAUCAAUGUAAAUGACACAAUAUUUCUUAACGGUUUUUUGCAUGUAAAUA
Non-coding RNA from Malus domestica (apple), 1075 nucleotides. NCBI's taxonomy places the organism in Eukaryota, Viridiplantae, Streptophyta, Magnoliopsida, Rosales, Rosaceae. The record is from RefSeq and is a predicted model, not a curated record.